GUUCAAUCCCUGGUAUCCACCCCAAAAAGAAUGCAGCCAUGAGUCGGAGACUUGCAGCCGACGGUCUUGAAGUCUAUUUGCUGACAUUUGAAGCAUUAAAUUAAUAUCGCUGCAGUCGAUCCUGCAGGCUCCUGGCCCGUCAUUGGGAUUCCGGGCGGACAGGCGAUUAGAGAGAGAGGAGCCCUGUUCAUUCUGCACCUGGACAGCAUCUGGCCAGGGCAUCGGGGCCCCCCAAAGUCCUGCUGCACUGUGUGUCCCCGAUUUCUCUCCCACGGACCCCAAAUCUGACUCGGCACCAGGUGGGCCCACGCAUGCCCGGGUUGAAGGUGCAGCGACUGCAUUUGGACACUUGGGUCUGACCCUGUGGACCUGCCUGUGCGGAUUGGUAUCAGACAGGACAGGGAAGGGGCUGCCCUGGACGGGAGCCACAUUUAUUCCAAAACUUCCCAAAAAGCUCCCCCAGAGGACUUGAGUGACAUCAGAGAGCGAGGUCCCGACCCUCCAAAUAGAGAAUCUGGAUAUGAUCUGUCUCAGGGCACAGGUCAUCACCCAGCAAGGCGCUGGCCAGGGACACAGCGCGACGAUACUGAUUCUGUAUCAGAAGCGAGUCCACAAGGGACAGAUGGUGGCUUUCCUCCGUGCACAUGUGGGUGCCUGGAUUUUGCAGCAUCCAGAACUCAGGCUGAGCAAAGUGGUUGGAGAACGAGAGCUGGUCCCUGUGUCCAGGGUGAUGCACGGGGCUGUCUCUCUGGGGCAGGUUCUUCCCGGGCAGAGCAGAGACCCCUGGGAAAGGGCUGGGGGUCCCGGCUUUACCGACUCCCAGGUGCAUGUCACAUUGGGGUUUGCAGAACCUGGGAGCGGAAGUGGCUUGGACCUGCAGAAUCAGCACCGUGCGUCCAUCCUUCUUGCAUUUGUGGAAUGAUAUGAACCAGAUUUGGUACAACUGAGUGGCUGGGGACGUCUCGUGGAAGUGGGUCCUGUGCUGUCAAUCAAACCCUGCGCCUUGCCCCCGAGGAUGGUCGCUCCCAGGUCUCUGUGAUGAUCUCUGCCUCAUCAGAGGCAG
This 1063-nucleotide long non-coding RNA is filed under the name Marmota monax (woodchuck). The record is from RNAcentral. Lineage: Eukaryota; Metazoa; Chordata; Mammalia; Rodentia; Sciuridae.